GCUUGAUGCUGGUUUCAUCUCUGACAUAGCUCCAACAAUGAGCGCACAUUUCCUGAAUUUGGACCUGAACCGUGCAGGUUUCUUGGCUCUUUGGAUCUCCAGGGACUUGAAUUUAGAUCAGUAUCUGAUCGACUUCGAGGUGCCAGAUAGGUCUUAUGCUGCCUUCCCGGGACGGGAUGAAGGUGGCUGUCUGCAUACUUGCAUAGGCUCCUCGUCAGCAAGCUAUGCUUCGGCCUGGUGCUUCUCCUCACUGUGCCGAUCAUUGUUUUGUUACUGGAAGGAGCCCCACUCCUCAAAAUCUUCAGCACAACACCGGAGCAAUUAAAAGUUCUCUCUCAUGGCAUCCUACAGCAGCAGGAGAAGGAACAUCUUGGAGAUGAUAGAGCAAGUCUAACUGGAUUUCCAGGUCCAGCUUCCAGGAGCCACACGCACAAAAGUAGGGACAAAGUGAACAAAGGUAAUUCCUUAUGCAAUGUCUUACUCUUCAUUUGUUGUCUUUUUCAUUUCCUCCACUGCUGUUUCAUGCCUGCUGGCUUACCUCAAGCUUACAAGGUCUAACUUCUUAAAAAGGUAUUUUAGUUCCAUUUUCUCUGUGCAUCUUGUUGAAAUCUGGAGUUCUUCAAACAUAUUUUUGUGGAUCUCUGUGGAUACGUUGUCAUUUUGCAGCUCUGUGUUAUUGCUUAAUCAACCUACUUGAAUACUGGUC
Molecule: long non-coding RNA, 706 nt
Organism: Panicum virgatum (switchgrass)
Lineage: Eukaryota; Viridiplantae; Streptophyta; Magnoliopsida; Poales; Poaceae
Exons: 2
Source: RefSeq, a predicted model, not a curated record